This 216-nucleotide unclassified non-coding RNA is filed under the name Hevea brasiliensis (rubber tree). The record is from RNAcentral. Lineage: Eukaryota; Viridiplantae; Streptophyta; Magnoliopsida; Malpighiales; Euphorbiaceae.
UGGUGCUCACGCGAUAUUGUAACCAAGGAGGCCCCAACAACGGACUUAAGGUAAUAGCACCUCCACCAAUGACCACAAUGGAGCAGCUUUUGGCUGUUCAGAAUGCAAUUUCUCAAGCUGAACAGCUCAUCCAAGAUGGAAACAUUUUCCUUCUCAAGUUUCGUGCCUUAUUGCUGUCCAUUUUCCCCCAGGCGAGCGAGAAAUUUGCAGCAGCAC